AGUGAACGCUGGCGGUAGGCCUAACACAUGCAAGUCGAACGGAAGCACAGUAAGAGCUUGCUCUGACGGGUGGCGAGUGGCGGACGGGUGAGGAAUACAUCGGAACAUACUUUUUCGUGGCGGAUAACGUAGGGAAACUUACGCUAAUACCGCAUACGACCUACGGGUGAAAGCAGGGGAUCUUCGGAUCUUGCGAGCUUGAGUGAUCCUGUGUCGGAUUUGGUAGUUGGCGGGGUAAAGGCCCACCAAGGCGACGAUCCGUAGCUGGUGUGAGAGGAUGAAGCGCGACACAGGAACUGGGCGGCGGUCCAGGCUCCUAGGGGAGGCAGAAGUGGGGAAUAUUGGACAAAGGGGGCAAGCCUGAUCCAGGGAUACCGGGUGGGUGAAGAGGGCCUUCGGGUUGUAAAGCCGUUUUGUUGGGAAAGACAAGCAUCAGGUGGAAACACGGGUGUUCUGACGGUACCCAAAGAAUAAGCACCGGCUAACUUCGUG
This 492-nucleotide ribosomal RNA is filed under the name uncultured bacterium. RNAcentral's name for it is "partial 16S ribosomal RNA". It matches the Rfam family "Bacterial small subunit ribosomal RNA", at positions 30 to 507 of the family's 1533-position model. The record is from RNAcentral.